CAAAAUCCAAAAGUGAGCCCCCAGACAGGGAUGACCGUCCGAAUGUGUCCGCUUACUCAACUUGGAAAGGGGAAGUAAUGUAGUUUUGAAAGAGGUGUACUCAAUGUAUAACCAGCUGAUAACCAAGUGACUGAAACAGAAGAGUUUGUAUCUCAUAGUCAUUGCCUCAGUUGACCUGAACUAGAAGAUGUCAAAACAUUUCAGUGAAAUCUCAGGAAAUGAAAUCAUCACACCUGUCACAAAACAAAGACUGGAGUUCAGAGAAAGAGUUCAACACUUUGGAUAAAAUUAAUG
This is a long non-coding RNA of Saccostrea echinata, 294 nucleotides long. RefSeq lists it as uncharacterized. The transcript is spliced from 3 exons. Lineage: Eukaryota; Metazoa; Mollusca; Bivalvia; Ostreida; Ostreidae. The record is from RefSeq and is a predicted model, not a curated record.